CCUGGUGGUGGAUCCCUCUUUUAUGUUUAACCCUUUUUUUUUUGGUUAAAACUUUAUGACUCCAUAACUUUUAGACCGUGAGGCCAAACUUGGCAUGUGAUACCUUUUCGGAAAGCCCAAAGACAGCCCUCCGACGAAAGAAGCAGGACAAUGGAAAUUUUCCAUUGACUUUUUGUCGACCCCAAAUUUUGACCUUUAAGUACUUUUUCGGGCAUUCUCGUGAUUUGGGCUAUAUUACGGACCCAAAAUUACUUGUUCAAGCAUUGUUUUCGAAUUUUUUCAUGCAUCAAAGCUCGUUAAGACUAGAUGGGGUAUCCCUACAUAGCGGGUGGGACCCACGGCGAAUGGUUCAUCAAGUCUUCAAAAAACAAUAUAUACGAUUGCAUUCCAUAUACUAACGGAUGCGAUCAUACCAGCACUAAUGCACCAGAUCCCAUCAGAACUCCGCAGCUAAGCGUGCUNGGGCGAGAGUAGUACUAGGAUGGGUGACCUCCCAGGGAGA
This 502-nucleotide ribosomal RNA is filed under the name Arabidopsis thaliana (thale cress). Lineage: Eukaryota; Viridiplantae; Streptophyta; Magnoliopsida; Brassicales; Brassicaceae. The record is from RNAcentral.